This 474-nucleotide ribosomal RNA is filed under the name uncultured prokaryote. Its description in RNAcentral is "partial 16S ribosomal RNA". The record is from RNAcentral.
CCCUACGGGGUGCAGCAGGAAUCAAUGUUGGUGAAGCCAAUCGAAAGUUCGUAGAGGAUCAGGAGUAUCUUGAGCAGAUACCGGUUGCAGCUAAGCUUCUGGCAGAGUAUCCGGACAAGAUCGCAAUGCCGGUGGAUGUGGCCCUGAAUAAGAAUGGAGAGAGGAUCGACGUCGCAGUCUCCGCCCUUUCCAACGAUCUGCCUAUAGCGGACAUAGGUCUGGAGACCAUAGUCGAUUAUUCCAAAGAGCUAAAGGAUGCUCGGGUUACAGUCAUGAACGGGCCGGCAGGGAUAUUUGAGCAGGAGAAGUUCAAAUUGGGGACAUCUGAGCUCCUGAAGGCCUCAGCCGAGUCGGACUACUCCAUCGCCGGCGGAGGGCAUAGCGUGGCCGCCAUCGAACAGCUGGGGCUGGAGUCCAAGUUCUCUCAUGUGAGCAUGGGCGGCGGUGCGAGCAUCACCUACCUAUCGGGAGAGC